AUGGAAUGCUGGGAAAGGUCUGAGACAACAGUAAAAUAAAAAGAUUUGCUUUACAGCACUUCCGUUCCUGUGCAUAAUGUCCAGACACAGAGAUUCUAGGCUUUAGAUGAAAUCUUUUGAUACCACAUUUGUUCUUAACCCCACCCCCCUUCCCCACUCCUGCCUUGAUUGGUGUACUUACAGAGCUCAUAGCCUAUACAUAAAUUAUGCAGAGUGGGGGAGGGAGAAGGCAUGCAUGCUGUUGCGUUGCCUUUAAGAAUAAUCUAAAGAAAUGCACAUAACAAAAAUUGUACAAACCAGGGUGCCUCCAGCUGUUGCAGAACUACAACUCCCAGCAUGCCUGGACAGCCGAAGGCUGUCCGGGCAUGCUGGUAGUUGUAGUUUUUCAACAGCUGGAGGCACCCUAGUUGGGGAACUAAUCUACACUGGGCAUCUAAUAAAUUUUUUCCUUCCUCUGCUUUAGCACUGCUAGAUAUAUGUCUUUUUCCCAGCCUUGAUUGGUUGACUUACAGAGCUCAGUGCCUAUACAUCAAUUAUGCAGGGUGGGGGAGGGAGAAGGCAUGCAUGCUGUUGUGUUGCCUUUAAGAAUAAUCUAAAGAAAUGCACAUAACAAAAGUUUUACAAACCAAGGCGCCUCCAGCUGUUGCAAAACUACAACUCCCAGGCUGUCCGGGCAUGCUGGGAGUUGUAGUUUUGCAACAGCUGGAGGCACCCUAGUUGGGGAACUAACCUACACUGGGCAUCUAAUACAUUUUUUUCUUCCUCUGCUUUAGCACUGCUAGAUACAUGUCUUUUUUUCAGCCUUAUAAGCUAUAUUUCUAUGACUUUUAUGCAAGUUUCAUUCAGAUCAAUGGGACAAUGGCACAAAAUCCGCUGCAUGAAUCCACCCCAAGUAUCUAGUGCGGAGUGUGAACAGUUACUCGUUCUGUAGUUUAUGUUGUAUUCAUGAGCUCUGCUAAGUAGUAACCUCCGUGUAGGAAGACCACAUAUGAACAUGUCUAAAUUAGUCCUGAUAAUAGACACCGACCAGCGGUCAUUUAUCAUUCAUUUAUGUAAAUGGGGCCCAGAAGCCGGCGGCUUGUCAUUGAUUAAUAAAGACCUCGCUGUCAUUUUGCUCUGAUUCAAACAAAUGUGUCCUUAAUGCACAACUGAUUUAAAGGGCCAGCAAACCUAAAGUCUAUCUUAUCUCCAUUUGUUGAAGGCAGUCGAAUGCAAUCUUUUGUUUCUUGUUAUCAGCCAUCGUAAAGUAUUACUAUCACUUAAAGCGUACCUGUCCUAUCACAGAAAAAAAUAAUGCUUAUGUUUUACUCACUAGGUCAUGCAGAUGCUUUACAUGUCUUUUUUUUAAUGUGUUUAGCUUCUGUAUUUGGCUCAUAAAUUCCUCCGUUCUGCUGUUCACUCAUUCUGACAUCCACUUCUCAGGAAGGGGUGUGUCCGAGGCAAGCACUGAGCCCGCCCUCACUUACCAUGCAUUCACUUCCUCCCUGAGUCUGUUCUGCUGGGUCUCUUGAUCCAAUCACUGCAGGGUGCUCUAUAACCCCCUUCUCUCUGUUUUCAUUCUGCAGUAUGACAGGACAGGAGUGAGCACGGAGGAGUGCUAGUCCCACCCUCACUUCCUCGACUGACCUCAGCAGGAGCCUCUUAAAGGGGCCAGAAGCUUAAAAAGAAAGAGUGUGCAAUUGUUCUGGUCAGCGCUGGUCAGACACAUUCACCGCUGACAGACACGUCCGAUGGCUGACACGCCGGUCGAACAUAACAUCUGAAUCAUGACAACGAAUGAAGAAAAUGAUGAGUGAUACUUUGUAUCAGGAUUGUCACGCAUGUCAAGACGCUUGCUUUCAUAUGUCUUUCUACUGUCACAGCCAUGAUAAAAGUGACACUUGAUGUGCAGCUGUGUUCACACAUCACACCGCUAUCCGGAUAUUGUCAGGAUCCUCUUAUGAUACAUGGCACAGGGGAGAGUUUCCCAUCAUGACACAUUCAUUGGCUUCUAUCACUAUGUAUUAUGACAAUUGGGAUGUUUGGAUGGAAUAAAAAACGAGUAAAAAUGGC
Molecule: long non-coding RNA, 2052 nt
Organism: Hyla sarda
Lineage: Eukaryota; Metazoa; Chordata; Amphibia; Anura; Hylidae
Exons: 2
Source: RefSeq, a predicted model, not a curated record